Molecule: ribosomal RNA, 429 nt
Filed under: Acidobacteriota bacterium
Lineage: Bacteria; Pseudomonadati; Acidobacteriota
Description: Acidobacteria bacterium partial 16S ribosomal RNA
Rfam family: Bacterial small subunit ribosomal RNA
Source: RNAcentral
UGGGGAAUUUUGGACAAUGGGGGAAACCCUGAUCCAGCCAUCCCGCGUGUGCGAUGAAGGCCUUCGGGUUGUAAAGCACUUUUGGCAGGAAAGAAACGUCAUGGGUUAAUACCCCGUGAAACUGACGGUACCUGCAGAAUAAGCACCGGCUAACUACGUGCCAGCAGCCGCGGUAAUACGUAGGGUGCAAGCGUUAAUCGGAAUUACUGGGCGUAAAGCGUUCGCAGGCGGUUCGGAAAGAAAGAUGUGAAAUCCCAGAGCUCAACUUUGGAACUGCAUUUUUAACUACCGGGCUAGAGUGUGUCAGAGGAAGGUGGAAUUCCGCUUGUAGCAGUGAAACGCGUAGAUAUGCGGAGGAACACCGAUGGCGAAGGCAGCCUCCUGGGAUAACACUGACGCUCAUGCACGAAAGCGUGGGGAGCAAACAGG